RNAcentral lists this ribosomal RNA (417 nucleotides) under uncultured bacterium. Its description in RNAcentral is "bacterial SSU rRNA". It matches the Rfam family "Bacterial small subunit ribosomal RNA", at positions 362 to 776 of the family's 1533-position model. The record is from RNAcentral.
UAUUGGUCAAUGGACGAGAGUCUGAACCAGCCAAGUAGCGUGAAGGAUGACUGCCCUAUGGGUUGUAAACUUCUUUUAUAUGGGAAUAAAAUGAGUUACGUGUAGCUUUUUGUAUGUACCAUAUGAAUAAGGAUCGGCUAACUCCGUGCCAGCAGCCGCGGUAAUACGGAGGAUCCGAGCGUUAUCCGGAUUUAUUGGGUUUAAAGGGGGCGUAGGGGGGUUGUUAAGUCAGGUGUGAAAGUUUGCGGCUUAACCGUAAAAUUGCAGUUGAUACUGGCAUUCUUGAGGACAGGAGAGGUGGGCGGAAUUCGUGGUGUAGCGGUGAAAUGCUUAGAUAUCACGAAGAACUCCGAUUGCGAAGGCAGCCUGCUGGACUGUAACUGACGCUGAUGCUCGAAAGUGUGGGUAUCAAACAGG